Molecule: long non-coding RNA, 1258 nt
Organism: Aedes albopictus (Asian tiger mosquito)
Lineage: Eukaryota; Metazoa; Arthropoda; Insecta; Diptera; Culicidae
Exons: 3
Source: RefSeq, a predicted model, not a curated record
CGAGGGGACUAAUAAUUACCAUUUUUACGUGGUUUUUAUGCAUCAGAUUACCCCUCUUCGCCAAAUUUUGACAGUUUCUCCAAUAUUUCGCCCGCUUCGCCUCGGUCACCAAGCAAUGUUUUGUUUAUGUUUAAAAAUCAUGGUGCGCGGUCGGGUAAACUUUCGGCAGUACAUUUUUGUGCGCUCGAGAAAAUGUUGUAGAAAGUAGAGGCAUAGAUCAUCAUCCUAGAAAAAUUUUCUGCUUUAGUUAAAUAUGCGCGACCAGCGAAAGCCGGAAAAGAUUUUACCCAAAGCGAUUAUUAUAAUAAAUAAAUUACAAAUUUAUCGCCGUCGGGAAUGAUUCUUCUGUUGGAGCCAGCAGAGGACAUAGGGCACAAAACGGAUAAUCCCGGAAAGACCGACAUCCGGAUAGUACGCGGAUAAAAUAUAUCGCCCCUCUUUUCAUAAACAACAACUCGGCGAGCUUCGUCCAUGGUGGUUUGGACACGAAGGCACACUGGUGAUCGGCCACAAAUAGAUUCAUAACAAGAUCCAGCAGUUAAACUUUCGCGAUUGUCAUGCCAAGAUUAACCAGGUGGAUUCGUAGGCUACCGUCGGCACCGUAUCACGCAAUCCUUUGUGCUGGCCGUCCAAUCGCCGAAUAAGUAUUACUUCCAUAAUGAUAUCUUCCAGUAUCAGGACAUUGACUCCGACGACGAACUCGAUGAGAAUGAUCGUUCCGGAGAGGAUGGGGGAAAGUGGAUGCCAACAAUGCCGUGGAAGAUCAGCAGCAGUUGGUGCAGGCGAACGCUGUUGCUGCACCAAAACGUACGACAAUCUGGUCAAAUCCGGAUGUGUUGGCUUUUGUUUCGUCCUAUCACCACCACCAGCUGCAAUCCUACCAUCAGUCGAGAGGAUACAGCAACGUGCCAGCCGGACGUCCAUUAGUGAUGUCCCCUUCGCCGUCGUUGCAAAGCCUCCAGUUCUUGGUCCAGUUCAUACAAUGGCGGACCCAUCAAUACCGUAUAUUCUAUCUACUGGUGGUAGACUGGGUGGCAAGUACGAUUGUGGCCAACAGCAAGUCAUCACAGCAGCAGCAGCAUGGGUCAGGGACAUAUUCCACAGCGGAUGCAAAACAAACAGGACCGAUCCGGGACAAUGGUGACUCAACCAGUUGUAGUGGACAGAGCUCGACCAAAUAACAUAAUAGCCGACCAAGCUAUCAGGAGCUACAUCAGCGACGGCGAAGUUUAUUUACAGCUAAAAUCUAGUAAUCGGG